Molecule: ribosomal RNA, 254 nt
Filed under: uncultured bacterium
Lineage: Bacteria
Description: partial 16S ribosomal RNA
Rfam family: Bacterial small subunit ribosomal RNA
Source: RNAcentral
UCCGAGGGAUGCAAUCGUUAUCCGGAAUUAUUGGGCGUAAAGCGUUUGUAGGCGGGCGAGUGUGUUUAAUGUUAAAUCUUAAAGCUCAACUUUGAAAUUGCGUUAAAAACUGCUUGUCUUGAGUAUGGUAGGGGUAAAGGGAAUUCCCAGUGUAGCGGUGAAAUGCGUAGAUAUUGGGAAGAACACUAAACAGCGAAGGCACUUUACUAGGCUAAUACUGACGCUGAGAAACGAAAGGUAAGGUAGAGAAACGG